CCUACGGGAGGCAGCAGUGAGGAAUAUUGGUCAAUGGACGCAAGUCUGAACCAGCCAUGCCGCGUGCAGGAAGACGGCUCUAUGAGUUGUAAACUGCUUUUGUACGAGGGUAAACGCAGAUACGCGUAUCUGUCUGAAAGUAUCGUACGAAUAAGGAUCGGCUAACUCCGUGCCAGCAGCCGCGGUAAUACGGAGGAUUCAAGCGUUAUCCGGAUUUAUUGGGUUUAAAGGGUGCGUAGGCGGUCGGAUAAGUUAGAGGUGAAAUCCCGAGGCUCAACUGCGGAAUUGCCUCUGAUACUGGUCGGCUAGAGAGUAGUUGCGGUAGGCGGAAUGUAUGGUGUAGCGGUGAAAUGCUUAGAGAUCAUACAGAACACCGAUUGCGAAGGCAGCUUACCAAGCUACUUCUGACGUUGAGGCACGAAAGCGUGGGUAGCAAACAGGAUUAGAUACCCUAGUAGUC
RNAcentral lists this ribosomal RNA (460 nucleotides) under uncultured bacterium. RNAcentral describes it as "partial 16S ribosomal RNA". It matches the Rfam family "Bacterial small subunit ribosomal RNA", at positions 338 to 795 of the family's 1533-position model. The record is from RNAcentral.